UACAGAGGUCCCGAGCGUUUGUUCGGAUUCACUGGGCGUAAAGGGUGCGUAGGUGGUGAGGUAAGUCGGAUGUGAAAUCUCCGGGCUCAACCCGGAAAUGGCAUUGGAAACUACCUUGCUUGAGGUUUUGAGGGGGGACUGGAAUUCUCGGUGUAGCAGUGAAAUGCGUAGAUAUCGAGAGGAACACCGGUGGCGAAGGCGGUUCUCUGGGCCUGUACUGACGCUGAGGAGCGAAAGCGUGGGGAGCGAACAGG
Molecule: ribosomal RNA, 254 nt
Filed under: uncultured bacterium
Lineage: Bacteria
Description: partial 16S ribosomal RNA
Rfam family: Bacterial small subunit ribosomal RNA
Source: RNAcentral